AUGUUGCUGUGGGCUGCACUCAGCAUCCUGGUCUGGGGCGCUGGCUCUGUCUUCCUUAUUCUGGUCUUCUUCAACUACAUGUGCAGCUCUGGCAGAAGUCUUAUCCCUGGGACCUCCAGUGCUGCUCCACAGAUCUGACUGGGAAAAUAGCCAUAGUGACUGGGGCCAACAGUGGCAUCGGGAAGGUUGUAUCCCAGGACCUAGCUCGGUGUGGGGCCCAAGUGAUCCUUACUUGUCAGAGCAGGGAAUGUGGACAGCAAGCCCUGGCUGAGAUCCAAGCAGCCUCAAACAGCAACCGCCUCCUGCUUGGCGAGGUGGACCUUAGCUCCAUGACCUCUAUUCGGAGCUUUGCCCGGAGGCUUCUACAGGAGAAUCCUGAGAUACAUCUGCUGGUAAACAAUGCUGGAGUCAGUGGAUUCCCAAGACACUUACCCCAGGGGGCCUGGAUCUCACCUUUGUCACUAACUAUGUUGGGCCCUUUCUGCUCACAAAUCUACUCCAAGGGGCCCUACGACAGGCAGGGUCAGCCCCAGUGGUGAAUCUGUCUUCCGUUCGGCAUGCACAUGGGUACAUUGAUGAGGGGCACCUGACAGGCUGGAGGCCCUUUGACCUUUAACCAAAACUAUGACUGCAGCAAACUGCUAUUGACUUCAUUCACUGGAGAGCUUGCCCAGAGACUUCAAGGAGAAUGACUGUGAAUGCUGUGGAGCCCGGUGUUGUAUACAUGGGGAUUAUGAGGCAUUUCUCUUAGCCAUAAUGCUUCCUCUUCUAGCUUGUCAGCUUCUUCAUGAAGGAUCUCAAACAAGGUGUACUCCCAGUUCUCUACUUGAGCUUGGCAGAGGAGCCGGGUGGUAUUUCUGGAAAAUAUUUCAGCAGUUCCUGUGUGAUAACUCUUCCCGUUAAAGCCUCUCGGGAUCCUCAUGUUGCCCAGAGCCUCUGGAAUGCCUCAGUCCGACUGACAAGCCUAGUCAAGAUGGACUGA
Molecule: small RNA, 982 nt
Filed under: Pan troglodytes (chimpanzee)
Lineage: Eukaryota; Metazoa; Chordata; Mammalia; Primates; Hominidae
Description: transcribed unitary pseudogene
Source: RNAcentral